ACUCAAAGGAAUAGACGGGGGCCCGCACAAGCGGCGGAGCAUGUGGCUUAAUUCGACGCAACGCGAAGAACCUUACCAAGGCUUGACAUCGCCCGGACAGUCCCAGAGAUGGGGUUUCCCUUUGGGUCGGGUGACAGGUGGUGCAUGGCUGUCGUCAGCUCGUGUCGUGAGAUGUUGGGUUAAGUCCCGCAACGAGCGCAACCCUUGUUCUGUGUUGCCAGCAGGCCCUUUGCGGUGCUGGGGACUCACAGGAGACCGCCGGGGUCAACUCGGAGGAAGGUGGGGACGACGUCAAGUCAUCAUGCCCCUUAUGUCUUGGGCUGCACACGUGCUACAAUGGCCGGUACAAUGAGUUGCGAUGCCGUGAGGUGGAGCGAAUCUCAAAAAGCCGGUCUCAGUUCGGAUUGGGGUCUGCAACUCGACCCCAUGAAGUCGGAGUCGCUAGUAAUCGCAGAUCAGCAGUGCUGCGGUGAAUACGUUCCCGGGCCUUGUACACACCGCCCGU
RNAcentral lists this ribosomal RNA (505 nucleotides) under uncultured bacterium. RNAcentral's name for it is "partial 16S ribosomal RNA". It matches the Rfam family "Bacterial small subunit ribosomal RNA", at positions 899 to 1397 of the family's 1533-position model. The record is from RNAcentral.